GUAAGGAAUAUUGGUCAAUGGACGAGAGUCUGAACCAGCCAUGCCGCGUGAAGGACGAAGGUCCUCUGGAUUGUAAACUUCUUUUCCCCGGGGCGAAAAAAGCCUUUUCAAAGGCGCUUGACAGUACCGGGGGAAUAAGCACCGGCUAACUCCGUGCCAGCAGCCGCGGUAAUACGGAGGGUGCAAGCGUUAUCCGGAUUUACUGGGUUUAAAGGGUGCGCAGGCGGAAAUGUAAGUCAGUGGUGAAAUCCCGCAGCUUAACUGCGGAACUGCCAUUGAUACUAUGUUUCUUGAAUGUCGUCAAGGCCAGCGGAAUAGGACAUGUAGCGGUGAAAUGCAUAGAUAUGUCCUAGAACACCGAUUGCGAAGGCAGCUGGCUGGUCGAUGAUUGACGCUGAGGCACGAAAGCGUGGGUAGCGAACAGGAUUAGAAACCCUUGUAGUCC
RNAcentral lists this ribosomal RNA (445 nucleotides) under uncultured bacterium. Its description in RNAcentral is "partial 16S ribosomal RNA". It matches the Rfam family "Bacterial small subunit ribosomal RNA", at positions 354 to 796 of the family's 1533-position model. The record is from RNAcentral.